GAGCUAUGUAGAAGAUAUAUGCGCUAUCGUGAUGGUGGGUUCAUCAUUCAAUCAUCACCUUCGAUGAAAAGAAGAGCCUCUGAGCUC
Molecule: small nucleolar RNA, 87 nt
Organism: Hibiscus syriacus
Lineage: Eukaryota; Viridiplantae; Streptophyta; Magnoliopsida; Malvales; Malvaceae
Product: small nucleolar RNA snoR114
Exons: 1
Source: RefSeq, a predicted model, not a curated record